Molecule: small nucleolar RNA, 73 nt
Organism: Pongo pygmaeus (Bornean orangutan)
Lineage: Eukaryota; Metazoa; Chordata; Mammalia; Primates; Hominidae
Product: small nucleolar RNA SNORD19
Exons: 1
Source: RefSeq, a predicted model, not a curated record
GAUAUAUUAUGCAAAAUUGAAACAGUCUGUUUCUUACAGACUAAUAGGAGGCAACACUGAUUUCAAAAACGUG